GGCUUGUUCGGUUGGGCCGUUCUCGGCCGGGAUCGGAGCCCAAUCCCCGUGGAAAAUCCCGGCGUGGAAAGGAUACCGGCCCACGCAAGUAUAGGCGUUCGGUUAAGCCCAGGCGAGAUUUUAUCCCGGCCCACCCCGGCCGGGAAAUAUUCAGCUUCUCUGGUGGCGAGGAAAAAAAUCCUCUCGACGCAGCGACACAAAGAGAGGGGGCGCUGCAGCGGGGACAGCUGCACAGCGCAGCGCGACUCCGACGCGACGGCGACGGCACGCUCUCUCCUCCGGCAGUUGACUCCUCCGGUGGCCACCUUCUCCCCGGUGAGUUCCUUCACUUCCUAUCUCCCCUAG
RNAcentral lists this long non-coding RNA (345 nucleotides) under Oryza sativa aromatic subgroup. RNAcentral describes it as "lncRNA OsARC_05g0011490". Lineage: Eukaryota; Viridiplantae; Streptophyta; Magnoliopsida; Poales; Poaceae. The record is from RNAcentral.